This 3790-nucleotide unclassified non-coding RNA is filed under the name Amphibalanus amphitrite. RNAcentral describes it as "probable N-acetylgalactosaminyltransferase 9, transcript variant X2". The record is from RNAcentral. Lineage: Eukaryota; Metazoa; Arthropoda; Thecostraca; Balanomorpha; Balanidae.
AACCGGCUCCCCCCCGACUCGCUCGUUCGCGCAUCGCCUUCGCUACGAGGCUCUUCUGUGGCGUUUCGCCGGUUCCUGUCGUGAUUAUUUGAUGUUCAAGGGAUUUAUUCAUUUGUGAGAAGUGAAAGUAGUAAUUGAAACGUAACAUCACUGACAAUAUUUCAGAGUAUAGGUUCGCCAUGGCAGGGAAACAAAAACAAACUGCACGGAGAUCGAGGAGCAACAUCAAUAAUUCCCAGUCUGCGGGAACCUCCCGGCUCUCCUGCCGUAGCCUGGCCGUGCAUGCCGUCGGAGCGGUGGCCGUAGCGGUGGCCGUGGCUCUCCUCUGCCCCUCUCUCUGGGAGCCGGCCGGUGACCGGGCCGGCCCUGCGGCCGUCACCCAACAGGACCCGGCUGCCGGUGACCUCGGCCGUCCCGUGGCGCUGACUGCUGAGGAGCGACGGCUAGCUGAUCAGCUGUACAAGCAGGAAGGCUUCAAUGUUGUGGCCAGUGAUAAGGUGCCGUUCGUGCGCCGACUGCCCGAUGUGCGGCCGCAGCUGUGUCGCGGUCGGACAUACGACACGGACCUGCCUGCUGCCAGUAUCAUCAUCAACUUCCACAACGAGGUGUGGUCGGCACUGCUGCGAUCGGUCCACUCGGUGCUGGCCCGCACUCCGGCCCACCUGCUGUACGAGAUUCUGCUCAUCGAUGACGCGAGCACCAAGCCGGAGCUUGGCGAGCCGCUGGAGCGGUACGUCUCUGACCACCUGCCGUCCAAGGUGACGCUACACCGACUGAAGGAGCGACAUGGCCUGAUCAGAGGCCGACACUGGGGUGCCCAGCAGGCGUCCGGACCCGUGCUCAUCUUCCUAGACUCGCACGUGGAGCCCUGUGAUACCUGGAUCGAGCCUCUGCUGCAGCGGAUCAAAGACGAGCCUCACGCCCUGGUCUGCCCCGUGAUCGACAACAUCAGGGACACGGACCUGGCUUACCAGCCGGCCGAGCGAGUGGCCGGCGGGUUCACCUGGUCCGGACACUUUGCCUGGAUCGAGGCCGGCGGAGCCGACGGAAAACUGCCCAGCGACGAGGCGGCUCCCGUCAGGUCUCCCGUGAUGUCUGGAGGUCUCUACGCCAUUAGCAGGGAAUAUUUCUGGCACCUGGGAGGCUACGACACUGGAAUGGACGUCUACGGCGGAGAAAACCUCGAACUCUCGUUCAGGACGUGGCAGUGCGGCGGCGUGGUGGAGACUCUGCCCUGCUCCCGGGUCGGCCACAUAUUCCGCGACUUCCAUCCGUACUCGUUCCCGUUCAGCGGUAACCCUCUGGCGGCCAACAUGGCCCGUAUCGCCGCGGUUUGGAUGGACGAGUAUAGCCGCUACUUCUACCUGCACUACCGACAUACAGAGAUGCCCGAGGCCGGUGACGUCACGGCCCGUCGGGAGCUCCGGGAGCAGCUGCAGUGUCACUCCUUCCGCUGGUACCUGGAUAACGUCUACCCCAACAAGAUGCGGCUGGAUGAGGACGUACUGGCGAGCGGCCAGGUGCGCUCGGCCCUGCGGCCGGACCUCUGUAUCGACACGCUGGUGAUCGACCGACAGAUCUUCCUCGGGCUGAACUCGUGCACCCAGCCGGUCGUCUCGGGACAGUACCUGACUCUCAGUAAGCGGGGCGAGCUGCGUCGCGAGGACAACUGCGCCUAUGCCGGCGGCGCCGGGCCCCACGCCGGCACCGUGAUGGCUCCGAUGGCCCCGUGUACGAUCAAAGGGUCGGAGCAGCAGCAGUGGAUCUACGACGGGCAGACUGCUCAUCUGCGCCACAUGGCCACCGGCCUGUGUCUGAACAGCUCCGGGGUGGAGGCCAUGCACCUUCUCUACCUGGCCACCUGUACGGCCGACGUCGGACAGCGGUUCACCUUUGAGAACGGACAGCUGUAGACGAGCGGUGUGCCGCCGGACGGACCAGUAGCUACAGAGGUGGGAACGACAUGGAUGGAGGUAGUCCGUGGUCUGUCCGUGAGACGUGUGGUCUUUGGUCCUUGUGGGUCCUUGUGGUCAGAGGUCCGCGUAGAUCCCAGGUCCAUGGGUUCCUUUCUCCAUGGUCCUUGGACCAAGCGGUUAAUUACCAGGGUACUCCCGGGUCUGUUUGGUCCAGGUCCAUGUUGUCCUUGGCUCAUGCGAUCGUUGAUCCGUGUGGUCUAGCUAGAUCCAUGCGACCAGCGGCUAACGUGGCCCAUGGUUCUCGUGAGUCCUUGGGCCCAAUGCCCCCACCCGUUGAUGAAUGUGGACCGCAGUGCCUUCCCCGCUCCUACGGAGUAUUCAGCUCCCAUGGGAUGCACUCUAAAUCAAAACGCAACCAGUCAAACGGUGGCAUAUCUUUAGGGAGCUGUGCCGAUGAGUAGAUGCGGAUUUUACUAGCUUGAUAACGCUCAUUCCAGCGCAUUUAUUUAUUUAUAUCGGUUCCAAAUGGCAAUACUUCAGACUGCUACGCCUUGAGAAGAGUUGUUGUUUCGUUUUACUCAGUUGGCAGUCAAAUACGGUACAGAAGGCCGUCUUUUGUAUCUGUGCGCACUAUAUAGGAAGAAGAAUAUUUGGUUUCGUCAAGUUGUUGACGACUUUGUUCCUUACGCUUGCGAAACAGCUUCUGGGUAAGCGAUGUGACCUUUAAUCUCAUUGGCAAAGAUCUGAAGCUUUCUUUUUUCGCACACUGCAAAUAAGUCACAAAAAUGUGGGCUUGUACUUUGUUCAUACGAGAUUCCCUUUUGUUACAAGCUUUAUUUAUCAGCAGUGGUAUAUCUAGGCUUUGUUUGAGAUGGGUACAAUGAGUCACCGCUCAAUCAGAAAACAUGCUCGAUGUUUUCUUACCAAACGCAAGUGCCUUACCUUGGCGUGUUACCGAAUUCCUAUUCCUGAAAGGGACGCAAUAUGUGAGUCAUAUCACAGAUCAGCAAGCCUUGCUUUGAGUGUUUAACAGGCCCACAGUUUGCAUUUAGAAACACUAUGGCUAGUUCUAAACAAGUGUGAGUGUGAAGUGUCCUUGUUGUGCCCUUGCCGUCUAGCUCACUUUCUGGGAUCAAGAGCUGCCGUUUCCAAUGGCUGCUGCCGUUUCCAAUGGCUGUGUUGGAGCAGAUAUCCUGGGAAUUGAUAUCGCAUUUCCAUGAUGAAAAACACGCUGUGCGCCGCAUCUAUCCACCGUCAAACGGUCAGAUGUAAGAUCAGAUCGCGCACACUAGACUGUGUUGUGGUGUUUGUUUUCCUCAAUGGGUGCUGUGCUAUCUGUUUGUGGUGGGGGUGCUGAAUUAAUAACUCACUUUUUACUGCCCAAGCAAAUAAUUUGCAUUUGAACGGACAGAAACCACAGUAAAUCAAUAUUCAUACGGAUAGCUUCUACUGGCGUCGUUGUUGUGGUUUGCGAUUAUCUUCAUGUGUGUGCGUUUGUAUUUUCCUGGCGUAGUGCCCAGUUUGGAUGUGAUAUAUUCAAGCUGCGACCUCCACUGCCUCUGCUGAGGGCCGUGGUGCCUUGGCGUUAUCCCCUGCCGCGAUAUAUCUGUGUUAGUAAAUUAUUAUUUAUUGCUAGACGCAUUUGUGUGAGACUAUGCGUGCCCAAACAGGGUUUUCGGCGGAUUCGCCGGGCGGCUAGCCAGCCGUGAUCAUACUUUGGGAGAGUGUGGGUCGUUUUGGUGAGGACCAGGGCAAAAAGAAUUUUGUCCUGGCUUAAGGUGGUAGAUGGUACCUUUUUUGUUACUUUGUGGUCUACUGUGAUUGCAUUUGGAUUUGUUUUGUAACUAUCAUGUCAAUAAACGCGCAUCAGCGUA